GGGGGUGACUAGUGACAGAGUGAGGGGGUGACAAGUGACAGAGUGAGGGAAGGGGUGACUAGUGGCAGAGUGAGGGAAGGAAGGGGUGACUAGUGACAGAGUGAGGGGAUGACUGGUGACAGAGAGGGAGGUGGUGACUGUCACUAGUCACCCCAUCCCACCCUCUGUCACUAGUCACUCCCUCCCUAACUCUGUCACUAGUCAUCCCUUCACUCUGUCACUAGUCACCCCCUCCCUCUGUCAUUGUGUCACCCCAUCCCUCCCUCUGUCACUGUGUCACUCCAUCCCUCCCUCUGUCACUAGUCACUCACUCUAGUGA
This 319-nucleotide small RNA is filed under the name Pelobates cultripes (western spadefoot toad). The record is from RNAcentral. Lineage: Eukaryota; Metazoa; Chordata; Amphibia; Anura; Pelobatidae.